Molecule: ribosomal RNA, 433 nt
Filed under: uncultured bacterium
Lineage: Bacteria
Description: bacterial SSU rRNA
Rfam family: Bacterial small subunit ribosomal RNA
Source: RNAcentral
AGCGAACGCUGGCGGCAGGCUUAACACAUGCAAGUCGAACGCCAUCUUCGGAUGGAGUGGCAGACGGGUGAGUAACGCGUGGGAACGUACCCUUUGGUUCGGAAUAUUCUCGGGAAACUGGGAGCAAUACCGGAUAAGCCCUACGGGGGAAAGAUUUAUCGCCAAAGGAGCGGCCCGCGUCAGAUUAGGUAGUUGGUGGGGUAAAGGCCUACCGAGCCUACGAUCUGUAGCUGGUCUGAGAGGAUGAUCAGCCACACUGGGACUGAGACACGGCCCAGACUCCUACGGGAGGCAGCAGUGGGGAAUCUUGGACAAUGGGCGCAAGCCUGAUCCAGCCAUGCCGCGUGGAUGAUGAAGGCCUUAGGGUUGUAAAAUCCUUUCAACGGGGACGAUAAUGACGGUACCCGUAGAAGAAGCCCCGGCUAACUUCGUG